GAUGAACGCUGGCGGCGUGCCUAACACAUGCAAGUCGAGCGGCAGCGCGGGGUGCUUGCACCCUGUCGGCGAGCGGCGGACGGCUGAGUAACGCGUGGGAACGUGCCCCAAAGUGAGGAAUAACUGCCCGAAAGGGUAGCUAAUACCGCAUAUUAUCUUCGGAUCAAAGGAUUUAUCCGCUUUGGGAGCGGCUCGCGUCGGAUUAGGUAGUUGGUGAGGUAAUGGCUCACCAAGCCGACGAUCCGUAGCUGGUCUGAGAGGCUGACCAGCCAGACUGGAACUGAGACACGGUCCAGACUCCUACGGGAGGCAGCAGUGAGGAAUCUUCCACAAUGGGCGAAAGCCUGAAGGAGCAACGCCGCGUGCAGGACGAAGGCCUUCGGGUUGUAAACUGCUUUUAUAAGUGAGGAAUAUGACGGUAACUUAUGAAUAAGGAUCGGCUAACUACGUG
RNAcentral lists this ribosomal RNA (451 nucleotides) under uncultured bacterium. Its description in RNAcentral is "partial 16S ribosomal RNA". It matches the Rfam family "Bacterial small subunit ribosomal RNA", at positions 28 to 507 of the family's 1533-position model. The record is from RNAcentral.